RNAcentral lists this ribosomal RNA (1363 nucleotides) under Kulamanamana haumeaae. RNAcentral's name for it is "partial 16S large subunit ribosomal RNA". It matches the Rfam family "Bacterial large subunit ribosomal RNA", at positions 1157 to 2486 of the family's 2925-position model. The record is from RNAcentral. Lineage: Eukaryota; Metazoa; Cnidaria; Anthozoa; Zoantharia; Parazoanthidae.
UUUUAUCUCUAAAAUUAUGGUGGCUAAAGUUGAACUGAAACUCUGGGGGCGAAAUAACAAGGUGGGGUCCGUUCCCAUAANGGUAUUGAACCCCCUACGGGGGUUGCAUAGCCUUCUGGCCCCCGCCCUUCGUUAUGUUUGUCCGGUAGCAGAACGUACUGUUAAUUGUUCAGUGAGAGCCCCACACGGCAUCAGAAGUGAUAAUGUGGACAUGAGUAAAAAAUCAUAGGAUCACUCCCCCCCUGGUUUCCCAUAUUAGGUAUGGGGUUAAACAGCCCCUAAAAUUGCAGCCCCAAAGGUUGCGUUAAUGGGGGGCCAUGAGUAAUAGACGCACAAAGUGCCAGGAAAGAAUUAUUCAAGAGCCAAAGGGGCCUUGCAGGCCUUACCUGCAAGGACCCGAUGGGGACCAUCUCUCGGCGCCGCACUGUACUAAACUAACUAAAGUGGGGGAUAGUGAGGGGAUAAAUUUCCUUAAGGAACUCGGCAAAAUCCCAAUGGCCCACCAGGGCAUUUAACUUUUGUAGCAAGGUAUCAAGGUACCUUCUACGAAGGUGGGGUCCGGUAGGACCCUACCUCCACCCUAACGGGUGGCGGUUACUUGUAUUGGAACACGGGCCUCGACUGUUUACCAAAAACAUAGCCCUCGGCCAAUAUGAAAAUAGAAGUAUGGAGGGUGAGGCCUGCCCAAUGGUUGUAUCUAAAAGCGGCUGAUGAAAGUCGAUCUCGUAAGGACAAUUGAAUGGCCGCGGUAACACUGACCGUGAUAAUGUAGCGUAAUCAAUAGCCAAUUAAUUGUUGGCCAGUAUGAAUGGCGCCACGAAGGCCCCACUGUCUUAAGGAAAUUCCCAGUGAAAUUGAAUUCGUAGUGAAGAUGCUACGUCCAAUUUGUUAGACGAAAAGACCCCGUUGAGCUUUACUGGGGCACUUACACGGCCCCGGCCUUCGAGACUAGGUUGAUAAGCCAAGGCUUCGAAGAAGUCUUCGCUUACCAUACCUAGGGACCGGCUGAAUUUAAAUGGGCGGCUUAGACUAUGUGGCAGCCCCCCCCGUCGGGGCAGAUGAAACCCCACUCCCCCAUGUCAAAGGGGCUAACCCCCCCCUUGGGGGGGACAAUGUAAGUAGGACAGUUUGGUUGGGGCGACCGCCUUUUAGAGAGUAACGAAGGUGCGCUUAAGGUGCGCAAUUAAUGACUGAAGCCUGACUGCGAGGGGGACACCCCGAGCAGACACCCCCAAGCCCGCCCGCCCAGAAGGCUAUGCCUUCUGGGAGGGCGGCGGUGGGGUGGGCCAUAGUGACCCGUUAAUUUAGAGUGGGAUAGUUAACGAUCAACGAAUAAAAGUUACCACGGGGAUAACAGCGUAAU